ACCCGAAAGAAAUGGCUCCUACUUGUAUGACAUGGGUCGACUGACACCGGGAUUCCACCUUUUGAAGCAAUACCCAACAAGAGAAAGAUUUUCAAUGCUUGAUUUCCAAGACACAAUGGACAACCCGAAAGAAAUGGCUCUUACUUGUAUGACAUGGGUCGACUGACACCGGGAUUCCACCUUUUGAAGCAAUACCCAACAAGAGAAAGAUUUUCAAUGCUUGAUUUCCAAGACACAAUGGACAACCCGAAAGAAAUGGCUCCUACUUGUAUGACAUGGGUCGACUGACACCGGGAUUCCACCUUUUGAAGCAAUACCCAACAAGAGAAAGAUUUUCAAUGCUUGAUUUCCAAGACACAAUGGACAACCCGAAAGAAAUGGCUCUUACUUGUAUGACAUGGGUCGACUGACACCGGGAUUCCACCUUUUGAAGCAAUACCCAACAAGAGAAAGAUUUUCAAUGCUUGAUUUCCAAGACACAAUGGUAUUUUACACUCACACUGACCAUAUUAAAAUACAACGAUUGGUAAUUGCCCGGAAAGCAGCAAAUUCUUGUUUCGAAUUCCGACUGUCAAGUAUUCUUUUCUUCGUGCUGUCCGAUGCGAACCACAGUGGAGAAUGACCAUGAAAUUUUACACUCACACUGACCAUAUUAAAAUACAACGAUUGGUAAUAGACAAAAUGGUGGAAGCAUAAAGACCGUCCUCGAUGCAAUCAACAAAUUGUUUCGAAACCGACAAUAGUGGAUGCACACUGAUGUGCAGUGAAAUUUCGUUAGGCCGCUACAACGUUAGCUUGAAGUAUAUCUGGAUAUACUAUAUGUAGUGUAAAUUCUGCCUGUUUAUGCCGUGACAUAUUAUGUAAUUAUGUAAGCAAUGGACUUGCCAUCGAGCCAAUGAUGAACCAUGUUUGAUGUGAUGCAGUAUACCUCUGUGAAAGCUGGUAGCAGUUAUAACAACAAGAACUAUUUUGUUUUUACAAGUGAAAUGUAUUGUGCACUGAUAAGCAAUAAUAUACUUUACUUUGGGGCCAUUCCUACCAAUUUGAAUUGUUGCAUAGAACGUAAUGGGAUGUUGGUCUCAAAGUACCUAUUAGGAACCCCCAAAUAACGAGGGUUUUUUUCGCAUCACCACUGGUAUAUAUUGUUUUGAACCGCGAACGGCUUUAGCCGUGAAGCUCUGUGAUAUUUAGAAGCGACAAAUGCGAACCAAAUGUUAGAAAUUACUAUCCCUGGCCAAUAUCAAUGCGAAAGUUGUUGGGUGUUUAAAAAUGAACUUUGUAUUGACUAUAUUUAAUUUCUUGUCUGUGCCAAAUGAAUUACAAAAUUAUGUCAUUUUCUGUUGAGAUGACUGCUUUUUUUAAAAACAGAUUGGAAUUAAUAAAUAUGCUUGGUAGAGUUAUCUGCCCUUUUCAUGAAAGCUGGCAGCAGUUAUAACAACAAGAACUAUUUUUGUUUUUACAAGUGAAAUGUAUUGUGCACUGAUGGGCAAUAAUAUACUUUACAAAUUUGAAUUGUUUUCUGGAGUACUUAGGCCUGUCUUUCUUAAAAUGUCAGUGUUUUUUGUGGGCAGAUAGAAUAGAAUGAAAACUUGCUGUUGAGAUAGAAAGAUAUACUGCUUGUUGCAUUGCACGUAAUCGUAUGUUGGGCUCAAAGUACCUAUUAGGACCCCCCCAAAUAACGAGGGUUUUUUUCGCAUCACCACUGGUAUAUAUUGUUUUGAACCGCGAACGGCUUUAGCCGUGAAGCUCUGUGAUAUAUAGAAGCGACAAAUGCGAACCAAAUGUUAGAAAUUACUAUCCCUGGCCAAUAUCAAUGCGAAAGUUGUUGGGUGUUUAAAAAUGAACUUUGUAUUGACUAUAUUUAAUUUCUUGUCUGUGCCAAAUGAAUUACAAAAUUAUGUCAUUUUCUGUUGAGAUGACUGCUUUUUUUAAAAACAGAUUGGAAUUAAUAAAUAUGCUUGGUAGAGUUAUCUGCCCUUUUCAUGAAAGCUGGCAGCAGUUAUAACAACAAGAACUAUUUUUGUUUUUACAAGUGAAAUGUAUUGUGCACUGAUGGGCAAUAAUAUACUUUACAAAUUUGAAUUGUUUUCUGGAGUACUUAGGCCUGUCUUUCUUAAAAUGUCAGUGUUUUUUUGUGGGCAGAUAGAAUAGAAUGAAAACUUGCUGUUGAGAUAGAAAGAUAUACUGCUUGUUGCAUUGCACGUAAUCGUAUGUUAGGUUCAAAGUACCUAUUAGGACCCCCCCCAAAUAACGAGGGUUUUUUUCGCAUCACCACUGGUAUAUAUUGUUUUGAACCGCGAACGGCUUUAGCCGUGAAGCUCUGUGAUAUUUAGAAGCGACAAAUGCGAACCAAAUGUUAGAAAUUACUAUCCCUGGCCAAUAUCAAUGCGAAAGUUGUUGGGUGUUUAAAAAUGAACUUUGUAUUGACUAUAUUUAAUUUCUUGUCUGUGCCAAAUGAAUUACAAAAUUAUGUCAUUUUCUGUUGAGAUGAUUGCUUUUUUUUAAAAACAGAUUGGAAUUAAUAAAUAUGCUUGGUAGAGUUAUCUGCCCUUUUCAUGAAAGCUGGCAGCAGUUAUAACAACAAGAACUAUUUUGUUUUUACAAGUGAAAUGUAUUGUGCACUGAUGAGCAAUGAUAUACUUUACAAAUUUGAAUUGUUUUCCGGAGUACUUAGGCCUGUCUUUCUUAAAAUGUCAGUGUUUUUUUGUGGGUAGAUAGAAUAGAAUGAAAACUUGCUGUUGAGAUAGAAAGGUAUACUGCUUGUUGCAUUGCACGUAAUCGUAUGUUAGGUUCAAAGUACCUAUUAGGACCCCCCCAAAUAACGAGGGUUUUUUUCGCAUCACCACUGGUAUAUAUUGUUUUGAACCGCGAACGGCUUUAGCCGUGAAGCUCUGUGAUAUUUAGAAGCGACAAAUGCGAACCAAAUGUUAGAAAUUACUAUCCCUGGCCAAUAUCAAUGCGAAAGUUGUUGGGUGUUUAAAAAUGAACUUUGUAUCGACUAUAUUUAAUUUCUUGUCUGUGCCAAAUGAAUUACAAAAUUGUGUCAUUUUCUGUUGAGAUCACUGUUUUUUUUUUUUUUACACAGAUUGGAAUGAAUAAAUAUUGUUAAUAGAG
Long non-coding RNA from Patella vulgata (common limpet), 3114 nucleotides. RefSeq lists it as uncharacterized. The transcript is spliced from 4 exons. NCBI's taxonomy places the organism in Eukaryota, Metazoa, Mollusca, Gastropoda, Patellidae. The record is from RefSeq and is a predicted model, not a curated record.